GUUACACUUUAUUACCAAGAGAGUAACACUGUUUAAUUGGUUAACACAACAAAUAAAGAGGUGGCAGUCUUAGCUCGCUUCUGAUUCGCUCACACGCCAAAUGGGUUGGAGAGAACAAAAUGCUUUCCUCCCUUCAUUUGGAAGUUGUGAUUCUGAUUAGCGAACAAAGGGCCACACACAGGAGACAAAAUGUGAAACAGAAGGAGGCUUCUAACUGAUAAGAACUGAGUUUAUUAGAAAGUCUCUUUUAAAGGCGUACAUAAUGAACCGAAAAUAACUCAAUUAAUUCCACAGUAAGAGGAAAGUCUUAUGAAAAAGAAAAAUCACCCUUCGUUGCAGGCGGCCUGGGAGACACGGGUUUACGAGGACUGUUGGAUUUCGAAUAAUUCACCUGUCAGCUUUGUGGAUUCUUGCCCCAGAUUUGCUCCUUUGCUUCUCUGGCUCAGUGGUUCCUACUCUGUCAACAAGUGCCUUCAAAGAUCUGCCUCCCAGAUGCCUCUAAGAUUGAAGAUUUUCAUCACAUUUAGAGCCGCUUCUCUACUACCUCUCACUUCUCAUUCACAUGCCUACCGAACCUACAUCGUCCCCUCCCUCGAACCUGUGGACCGUCGACCGGAGGUCGGGGAAAAUGGGUUAGCUUUCUCUUGGGUGGCAAAUUAUUUUUUAAUUAAUGCUGCUGCCGUUUUUCCCUCUCCCGGCCAAAUUAAUGCAACAAGAAUUGUGUUGGCAUCUGUGGCAGCAAAUGGAGAGGAAGAGCAGUUUCAAAGGAGAGGGUGACAGCUCCCCACCCCCCAAUCUGGGGAGGCUUUGGAGCAAGACACAAUUCACAUGCAGAGUGCCAGAACACGGCGAGUCUCCGCGUUGGAACUCGAGAGCUCCAGGAACACGUUUCCUCCACGACUGGUAGCAAUUCCUACUCUCUGUCACGCUGAGAGACUUUGAAGAAGAUUCUUUCUUGAGUUCCCUGCGGUCGGGCAUAGGGCCAGCUUAUGGGGAGCACAGGGUGGGGGGAUAAUUAAGCACCCUCAACACCUUGCCGUUCGUUUCCAGAAAGAACAGAGAUCGUCCACUCCUCACCCCAGCCCUUCCUUCCUUCCUUCCUUCCUUCCUUCCUUCCUUCCUUCCUUCCUUUCUCGGCCCAGCGCUUCAGAUCACCAUCCCCUAAGAAAGCCAGAUGGUUUCCUUUAAGAUUGGCUAAAAACCGUUUUUGGGGGACAAAUGCACACCAGUGUCCACGGUCCGUGCCAAGGGGAGCAAAUGGGGGCAUGAUAAGGCUCAUGGUCCAGUGCAAAGAUAACACUAGACUACGAGCAGAUCCUAUCAGACUGUACAUUAUCUUUAGCAUACAGACCGAUAUUUACAUGUUAUAUACCUACGCGCUGGGGCUUUUACCGGUUUUGUAUUUUUCAAAAAAAAAAAACCCUACUUUUUGUUUUUAGACAGACUUAUUAUUUGUUAUCUUUUGAUUUUCUCAAACAACAUAGGAAUGCAUUCUCCUUUUUAAAAAUUAAAACAUUGGGGCGCCUGGGUGGCGCAGUCGGUUAAGCGUCCGACUUCAGCCAGGUCACGAUCUCGCGGUCCGGGAGUUCGAGCCCCGCGUCGGGCUCUGGGCUGAUGGCUCGGAGCCUGGAGCCUGUUUCCGAUUCUGUGUCUCCCUCUCUCUCUCUGCCCCUCCCCCGUUCAUGCUCUGCCUCUCUCUGUCCCAAAAAAUAAAGAAACGUUGAAAAAAAAAAUUUUAAACA
RNAcentral lists this long non-coding RNA (1742 nucleotides) under Felis catus (domestic cat). RNAcentral describes it as "lncRNA (ENSFCAG00000051270.1)". Lineage: Eukaryota; Metazoa; Chordata; Mammalia; Carnivora; Felidae. The record is from RNAcentral.